GACUCCAGCUGUCCCACCCUGACCGCACAUCUGAUCUGGAAACUAAGCAGGGUCUGGCUCAGCUAGUACAUGGGCAGGAGACUUCCUGAGAAUAAAUACCAGGUGCCGCAGGCU
RNAcentral lists this ribosomal RNA (114 nucleotides) under Microtus ochrogaster (prairie vole). Lineage: Eukaryota; Metazoa; Chordata; Mammalia; Rodentia; Cricetidae. The record is from RNAcentral.